Molecule: long non-coding RNA, 414 nt
Filed under: Brassica rapa (field mustard)
Lineage: Eukaryota; Viridiplantae; Streptophyta; Magnoliopsida; Brassicales; Brassicaceae
Description: long non-coding RNA (BRAP_LNC000110)
Source: RNAcentral
GCUUUUAUUCCUUUAGACAUCGCGUGGAAAUACCCAGUGUUAGAAUCUCCCAGAGUGAGCCAUACUUGUCGACUCCUCUGUCGCCAAAAUUCCUCUUCAGCCUUGUAGGCUUGAAGAAGUUUUGCACUGAUCUCGUGGAGGUAGGCCUCAUCUGGACUUGGAUUGAUCAUUGCUGUUUCAAGCUCAUCCUUAAGAUUUUCUAUAGCUUUCCUGCUAUUUAUCUGGUGUUCCUUACUCCAUUUGCAGAUGGCCCUUCUACAAAGAUUAAGCCGGGCUUCAACACAGAGAUGAGUAUGCGUUUCCCAAACUUCUUCAAUAAUAUUUUUAACCUCCGUGUUGUCUCUUAACCUUCUAUCAUAUCUGAAGAUUCUCUUUCCUCUCUUCUUUUUUGUAUCCAGGAAAGAGAGAAGGGGC